CCUACGGGAGGCAGCAGUGGGGAAUAUUGCACAAUGGGCGAAGCCUGAUGCAGCAACGCCGCGUGAGCGAUGAAGGCCUUCGGGUCGUAAAGCUCUGUCCUCAAGGAAGAUAAUGACGGUACUUGAGGAGGAAGCCCCGGCUAACUACGUGCCAGCAGCCGCGGUAAUACG
This 171-nucleotide ribosomal RNA is filed under the name uncultured Clostridiaceae bacterium. RNAcentral's name for it is "partial 16S ribosomal RNA". It matches the Rfam family "Bacterial small subunit ribosomal RNA", at positions 338 to 527 of the family's 1533-position model. Lineage: Bacteria; Bacillati; Bacillota; Clostridia; Eubacteriales; Clostridiaceae. The record is from RNAcentral.